Molecule: ribosomal RNA, 501 nt
Filed under: uncultured bacterium
Lineage: Bacteria
Description: partial 16S ribosomal RNA
Rfam family: Bacterial small subunit ribosomal RNA
Source: RNAcentral
AUUGAACGCUGGCGGCAUGCCUUACACAUGCGAGUCGAACGGCAGCACGGGUGCUUGCACCUGGUGGCGAGUGGCGAACGGGUGAGUAAUAUAUCGGAACGUACCUUAUUGUGGGGGAUAACGCAGCGAAAGCUGUGCUAAUACCGCAUAAUCCCUAAGGGGGAAAGCGGGGGACCGUAAGGCCUCGCGCAAUUAGAGCGGCCGAUACCUGAUUAGCUAGUUGGUGAGGUAAAGGCUCACCAAGGCAACGAUCAGUAGCUGGUCUGAGAGGACGAUCAGCCACACUGGGACUGAGACACGGCCCAGACUCCUACGGGAGGCAGCAGUGGGGAAUUUUGGACAAUGGGGGCAACCCUGAUCCAGCAAUGCCGCGUGAGUGAAGAAGGCCUUCGGGUUGUAAAGCUCUUUUGUCAGGGAAGAAACAGCAGCUCUAACACAGUAUGCGAAUGGCGGUACCUGAAGAAUAAGCACCGGCUAACUACGUGCCAGCAGCCGCCGUAA